Molecule: long non-coding RNA, 1625 nt
Filed under: Anas platyrhynchos (mallard)
Lineage: Eukaryota; Metazoa; Chordata; Aves; Anseriformes; Anatidae
Description: lncRNA (ENSAPLG00020018217.1)
Source: RNAcentral
CAGCUCCUGCAGCCGCUCCAGCUCCUGCAGCCGCUCCAGCUCCAGCUCCUGCAGCCACUCCAGCUCCAGCUCCUACUGCUGCUCCAGUCCCAGCUCCUGCAACUGCUCCAGCUCCUGCAGCCGCUCCAGCUCCUGUGGCCGUGUCAGAGAAACGAGCUGUAGCAGUGCAAGUUGACCCAGCAGAGGGUAUUCCAAUCCCUGUAACGGGGUCAGAGAAACGAGCUGUAGCAGUGCAAGCUGCCCCUGCAGAGGGUAUUCCAACCUCUGUGGCAGACCCUGUAACAAAGUCAGAGAAACGAGCAGUAGCAGUGCAAGCUGCCCCUGUAGAGAAGGUGAAAAUAUGGUAUAGAAAUUCAAGUCGUUUAGAACGCAGAGAGUCUUCUGCCAAUCCAGGUAAAGCUUCUGCCAAAACUAAGUAUAGAGAUGACGAAGAUGAUGACGACGCUGGGCCAUCAAGGAUUCAGGAGGAGGAAGAUGAGGAUGCCGAAAGAGCAACAGUAACUACCCGAAGCCUAAACGAGCGCGAGCUACGAGAUGUGCGAAAAGAUUUUGGUCGCUGUAUAGGUGAGCAGCUUGUCACCUGGCUGCUCCGGUGCUGGGACUCUGGAGCCAAUUGUGUGGAAUUAGACGGCAGGGAAGCCAGACGGUUGGGAUCCCUUGCUCGAGACGCCGGCAUUGACAAAGCAAUUGCAGAUGGAGCACGACCCACCAGCCUCUGGAGGCGUCUCCUCUCAGCUGUGAGGGAAAGGUAUCCCUUCAAGGAAGAUAUUUUAUGUCUACCAGGCAAGUGGACCACUAUGGAGAAGGGAAUCCAGUACCUGAGGGAAUUAGCCGUACGGGAAGUGAUUUAUGAGGAUCCAGACCAGACACAAACAUCCAAAGAUCCAGAUGAAGUCAAGUGUACACGACCCAUGUGGCGGAAGUUUGUACGGAGUGCACCAUCAUCAUAUGCCAGCUCAUUGGCAGUAAUGGCCUGGAAAGAGGAUGAGGAACCCACAGUAGAUGAGGCGGCUAAACAACUCCGGCAGUACGAAGAAAGUCUCUCCUCUUCCUUACAGGCCUGCGUCUCAGCUGUGGAGAAACUUUCUGAAAAGUUUCACCAACUUGAAGAGAAUCUAUUGUCCUCCCCACCUGAACCAACCAGUGCCCACCGACCAAAAGAGAACACUUGGGAGAAACUUUCUGAAAAGGUUCACCAACUUGAAGAGAGAUUAUUCUCCUCUGCACCUGCACAAAGCAGUGUCUCAGCUGUCAGGGGUAGGCGUUCACCCGCACAAGGAAGACGAUAUGGUGGGUACUCACCCCGUGCCACCCUGUGGUUUUACUUACGAGACCAUGGAGAGGACAUGAGAAAAUGGGAUGGAAAAUCUACCGCGACCCUAGAGGCACGGGUACGUGAGUUGCAAAAGAAAACAAUCAGGAAAAAAGGAUUCUCCGAAAAGUUUGCUGCUCCAACUUCCAGCAGACAAUCCUUCAAACACAGAAACGAAGAAGAUUCUGACCAGGAUUAGGGGGGCCCUGCCUCCAGCCAGGGGGAGGAAAGGGACAAUCGAGUUUAUUGGACUGUGUGGAUUCGAUGGCCUGGCACAUCACGCGCACAGAAGUAUAAGGCUUUAGUAGACACC